CCUACGGGAGGCAGCAGUGGGGGAUAUUGCACAAUGGGGGAAACCCUGAUGCAGCGACGCCGCGUGUGGGAAGACGGUCCUCUGGAUUGUAAACCACUGUCCCCAGGGACGAAGAUGACGGUACCUGGGGAGGAUGCUCCGGCGAACUACGUGCCAGCAGCCGCGGUAAUACGGAGGCUGCGAGGGUUAUCCGGUUUUAUUGGGUUUAACGGGUACGUUGGCGGGCGUUUAAGUCAGCGGGAAAAAUUCGGGGCUCAACCCCGUCCGGCCGUGGAAACUGGGGGCCUUGAGUGGGCGAGAAGUAGGCGGAAUGCGUGGUGUAGCGGUGAAAUGCAUAGAUAUCACGCAGAACCCCGAUUGCGAAGGCAGCCUUCCGGCGCGCUACUGACGCUGAGGCACGAAAGUGCGGGUAUCGAACAGGAUUAGAUACCCGAGUAGUC
RNAcentral lists this ribosomal RNA (440 nucleotides) under uncultured bacterium. RNAcentral's name for it is "partial 16S ribosomal RNA". It matches the Rfam family "Bacterial small subunit ribosomal RNA", at positions 338 to 795 of the family's 1533-position model. The record is from RNAcentral.